GUUAAAAUUUCCAUAUAAAAAAUAAAUAAUAAAAUGUAAUUAAAUUGUAUAGAAAAGGGGGCGGGUCUAAACGAGGAACUUAGCUGACGUCGCUGUUACCGUGAUCCUGUGCUCGUCCUGCUCCCUGCAGAUCCUCUCAUCUCAACUCAGGACAGUCCUCCGUCUCUGUAGCAGUCACUCAGCAUUUAUAGCUGUCUUUGGACUUGUGUUUUAGUACAAGUGUGUCCAUCAGUGUAGUUACACACAGCUGCAAAGGUGACCAUUCCUUUAUAUUUCUUUAAUGAGGCAGCCUCUGGUUUUAUAUGUACUGUCAGUGGUUUUAGUCCAAUAAAAAAAGCCAGUGGAGUGA
Long non-coding RNA from Dicentrarchus labrax (European seabass), 349 nucleotides. RefSeq lists it as uncharacterized. Lineage: Eukaryota; Metazoa; Chordata; Actinopteri; Moronidae. The transcript is spliced from 2 exons. The record is from RefSeq and is a predicted model, not a curated record.